This 433-nucleotide ribosomal RNA is filed under the name uncultured bacterium. Its description in RNAcentral is "partial 16S ribosomal RNA". It matches the Rfam family "Bacterial small subunit ribosomal RNA", at positions 29 to 507 of the family's 1533-position model. The record is from RNAcentral.
AACGAACGCUGGCGGCAUGCCUAACACAUGCAAGUCGAACGAGACCUUCGGGUCUUGUGGCGCACGGGUGCGUAACGCGAGGGAACAUGAACUUAGGUUAGGAAUAACUCCCCGAAAGGGGAGCUAAUAGCGGCGAUAGUUAAUGGAGCAAAGUUUUGUAGCCUUUGGAUGGGGGAGCGUUGGGUUAGCUAGUUGGUAGGGUAAACGCCUACCAAGGCGACGAUCCAUAGCUGGUGUGUGAGGAUGGUCAGCAACACUGGGUGUGAGACACGGCCGAGAAUCCUGCGGGAGGCAGGAGUGGGGAAUACAGGACAAUGGGCGAAAGCCUGAUCCAGCUAUGCCGGGUGAGUAAUGAAGGCCUUAGGGUUGGAAAGCUCUUUUACCCGGGAGGUGAAUGACAGUACCGGGAGAAUAAGCUCCGGCUAACUCCGUG